This 355-nucleotide long non-coding RNA is filed under the name Crocodylus porosus (Australian saltwater crocodile). RNAcentral describes it as "lncRNA (ENSCPRG00005000789.1)". Lineage: Eukaryota; Metazoa; Chordata; Crocodylia; Crocodylidae. The record is from RNAcentral.
CUAGAAGCAGUUCCCUUUUGAAUUAGGCAGCCGUUUAAAAUGUACGUUUCAAUUUUGAUGGCAGUUUUUUAAUUGCAUUUAACAGCGUCCCUGCUGGUUCUUCAUUCAGCAUCUGUGCAGCCACGUUCUAUUGAUGGCCUGUUGUGAUUUCAAUGGAACAUCAUGGGAUGUACCUGGCACGUCGGGCAGCACUGGAUGGAGGUGCCUUUAGCCCAAUGUACCUGGCAUGCUCGAGACCAUUGAAGGGAAGAUUCUUCCCGUUCAGAGAAGAAAAAUCCUGUUCACAUUCACUGCUGUGCAGUGUGGCAGCUGGGGAGAAUAAGUGCCUACGCAAGCAAAGUGGUAAAGCGAAGGU